CUCACGGGAACCAAACAAGGUUUAAUGUCUCCGGAACAUAAACGAGAGACAGGCCGGUUACAUGUGGUUUUAAUUCCCGCCUUAUACAGUGCAAAAGUGUUGCGUCAUUAAUAGAACGGGAGGUUUUUCAUUCUUCUUUUAAAACUCAGGUAGGCUAUAUAUGAUUAGUAGUGUAGGCAGCAUUCUGACGAAUGAUAGGCCUACCAACACACAAAAUUUCAAGAGCAUUCAGAAAUCCAGCGCAAACGAUCUGUGAGCUGUUCAAAGUGAAGUUUUCAUAGCAAUACAAUUCAAAACGACAAUUUCACGAACUGCUGUCUUUGGACUGAUAAGUGUAAAUUAGAGGAAACCCGCGACUCACGGAGCCAAGAUGAGAACUGAAAAUCCACGUCUUCUACUAAUAGUGUAUCUGUGCUGGGGGAGCCAGGGACAGCCGACAGAAUCUGCUCCUUCCGUCACUAACGUUACAGUGGGAGGGAGCUUCCAGUUUCCCUUCAUACCGGAUGGGAACCAAAGCUACAGGGCAGAGUUGAAAUUUAACUCCACUGUGCUGAUUGCUACAUGGAUCUUUCAGUCACCCCCAUUUAUAAAUGUAAACUACGAAGGAAAAGUGAAGAUUCUGGAAAACCUGAUACAGCUGGAUAACGUUCAGCUUUCAGAUUCAGGUUUUUAUGAUGUGAAUAUAGAUUACCUUUCACAAUCAACAAGUCAACCAAUAAGGUUUAUCCUUCAGGUUUAUGAGCCAGUGUCUAAACCCAACAUCACUGCUGAGUGUCUGGGCAGCAGUGUCACUCUGACCUGCACUAGUAGUCAGGGGACCAAUGUGGAGUACAGCUGGGAAACUGCGCCCCCUUGUGGAGAGAGCUGCUUAGUGCAUCUUGGUCCUGUUGUACAGAUACCCUUCUCUGAUACACGAGACUCCAUAUAUUAUAAAUGUACGGCUUGGAAUGAGGUCAGCAAUGAGACCAGUAACCCUUUGGAGCCGAAUUUAUGCCCCACACAGCAACCAGCAGGUUUUAAUUGGAUUAUAGCCCUAUGGAUGGUAAUACCAGCAUUAUAUCUCACUGGAGCUGUGAUCUACAUAAAGCGGAGCAGAAAAGGAUCAAAUAUAGCAGAUACACCAGAGGAUGGACAUCUGUCACCGUCCCCUACAACAGAACCUGUGUACAUACAAGAGAUGCGAGUUUCCUCAUGUGCAGUUUACAGCCACUUUGUCUCUGGAGGCGACUGAAUUCACUCCAGUACAAAAACGGUGACAUAUUUCAGCUGGGCACACAUACAAACCAGGGCUAAAAAAGUGGAAUCAGAUAAUCUUAACACAUCUAUAAAGGUUUUUAUGGCCUAAAUAUAGAGUAUUACUAUAUAUAAUAUAUAUUUACAGUCAUGUAAACACACUAUAGAUCUACAGUGACACACUAUAGAUAUACAGCAAUAAAGCUGCAGUUUUGUCACUGUUGUGCUGCACUUAAAAAUAAAAACGACCUUUCUGAGAAAAGGUGGUUUAAGAUCUCAAGAGAACGAACUGUGGGCUGAGCUGUAUGUUUCAGUGCUUUGAACUGCUGUGAAUUUACACCCUAUAGACAAAGACAAAGCUGCUGCAAUGUGUUAAGCUGCACAGUUAGAUGGUCAAUGUGGCCAAUGCUGCAGGAGAGCUUGCACCGCCCACGUGGAAACCUCCGGAAAGAGGGUCUCAGGCACGUCGUGCAAACCAGGCACGGCUGCAGGUGGUAAAGGCAACAGUUCUUUGGUGAAUAUAAGAAGUUGAGAUCAAAAGCCUCUUUAUACUGCGUUACAUGAAAAUAUUUGCAGGUUGUAAUUUUGUGAUUAUUUGGAAUGUUUGAGUUGUAUUCGAAUCUCCCCUGGGGUCAAAAAAUGAUCUUAACCAAAUGUUUUAGAAAGUUAGAGAUCGGUUUUGCAUCGUCUGCUGUCCUGAAGUGUGUUUCUGUAUCACAUUUAACAUGCAUAUGUUGUAUGUAUUUGUAUUUAUUCUCUAUAAUGUAGAAUUUAUAUCCUGUCACUUUUUUUUGUCCUCUUUUGUCACUUGCUGUAGUAGCUGUACGAACAAAA
This is a long non-coding RNA of Paramormyrops kingsleyae, 2067 nucleotides long. RefSeq lists it as uncharacterized. The record is from RefSeq and is a predicted model, not a curated record. Lineage: Eukaryota; Metazoa; Chordata; Actinopteri; Osteoglossiformes; Mormyridae.